RNAcentral lists this ribosomal RNA (329 nucleotides) under uncultured eukaryote. RNAcentral describes it as "partial 18S ribosomal RNA". It matches the Rfam family "Eukaryotic small subunit ribosomal RNA", at positions 1470 to 1796 of the family's 1831-position model. The record is from RNAcentral.
CCCUUAGAUGUUCUGGGCCGCACGCGCGCUACACUGACGAUGGCAACGAGUUUUUCCUUCGCCGAAAGGUGUGGGUAAUCUUUUGAAACAUCGUCGUGCUGGGGAUAGAUCAUUGCAAUUUUUGAUCUUGAACGAGGAAUUCCUAGUAAGCGCGAGUCAUCAGCUCGCGUUGAUUACGUCCCUGCCCUUUGUACACACCGCCCGUCGCUACUACCGAUUGAAUGGUUUAGUGAGGACUCCUGAUUGGCGCCGCCGCCCCGGCAACGGAGCAGCGGACCGCCGAAAAGUUGUUCAAACUUGAUCAUUUAGAGGAAGUAAAAGUCGUAACA